RNAcentral lists this ribosomal RNA (292 nucleotides) under Streptococcus agalactiae. Its description in RNAcentral is "partial 16S ribosomal RNA". It matches the Rfam family "Bacterial small subunit ribosomal RNA", at positions 1 to 283 of the family's 1533-position model. Lineage: Bacteria; Bacillati; Bacillota; Bacilli; Lactobacillales; Streptococcaceae. The record is from RNAcentral.
UUUAAUGAGAGUUUGAUCCUGGCUCAGGACGAACGCUGGCGGCGUGCCUAAUACAUGCAAGUAGAACGCUGAGGUUUGGUGUUUACACUAGACUGAUGAGUUGCGAACGGGUGAGUAACGCGUAGGUAACCUGCCUCAUAGCGGGGGAUAACUAUUGGAAACGAUAGCUAAUACCGCAUAAGAGUAAUUAACACAUGUUAGUUAUUUAAAAGGAGCAAUUGCUUCACUGUGAGAUGGACCUGCGUUGUAUUAGCUAGUUGGUGAGGUAAAGGCUCACCAAGGCGACGAUACA